Molecule: ribosomal RNA, 315 nt
Filed under: uncultured eukaryote
Lineage: Eukaryota
Description: partial 18S ribosomal RNA
Rfam family: Eukaryotic small subunit ribosomal RNA
Source: RNAcentral
CCCUUAGACGUUCUGGGCCGCACGCGCGCUACACUGACCAGUGCAACAAGCAUCCGUCCUUGGCCGACAGGCUCGGGCAAUCUUUGAACGCUGGUCGUGAUGGGGAUAGACUUUUGCAAUUUUUGGUCUUCAACGAGGAAUUCCUAGUAAACGCAAGUCAUCAACUUGCAUUGAUUACGUCCCUGCCCUUUGUACACACCGCCCGUCGCACCUACCGAUUGAAUGGUCCGGUGAAGCCUCCGGAUUGGCGCGCACCUCGGUGCCGCCGAGAAGUUGGCUAAACCUNANCAUUUANAGGAAGGUGANGUCGUNACA